UUACAGGCUUAACACAUGCAAGUCGAGGGGCAGCAUGGUCUUAGCUUGCUAAGGCCGAUGGCGACCGGCGCACGGGUGAGUAACACGUAUCCAACCUGCCGUCUACUCUUGGACAGCCUUCUGAAAGGAAGAUUAAUACAAGAUGGCAUCAUGAGUCCGCAUGUUCACAUGAUUAAAGGUAUUCCGGUAGACGAUGGGGAUGCGUUCCAUUAGAUAGUAGGCGGGGUAACGGCCCACCUAGUCUUCGAUGGAUAGGGGUUCUGAGAGGAAGGUCCCCCACAUUGGAACUGAGACACGGUCCAAACUCCUACGGGAGGCAGCAGUGAGGAAUAUUGGUCAAUGGGCGCAGGCCUGAACCAGCCAAGUAGCGUGAAGGAUGACUGCCCUAUGGGUUGUAAACUUCUUUUAUAAAGGAAUAAAGUCGGGUAUGGAUACCCGUUUGCAUGUACUUUAUGAAUAAGGAUCGGCUAACUCCGUGCCAGCAGCCGCGGUAAUACGGAGGAUCCGAGCGUUAUCCGGAUUUAUUGGGUUUAAAGGGAGCGUAGAUGGAUGUUUAAGUCAGUUGUGAAAGUUUGCAGCUCAACCGUAAAAUUGCAGUUGAUACUGGAUAUCUUGAGUGCAGUUGAGGCAGGCGGAAUUCGUGGUGUAGCGGUGAAAUGCUUAGAUAUCACGAAGAACUCCGAUUGCGAAGGCAGCCUGCUAAGCUGCAACUGACAUUGAGGCUCGAAAGUGUGGGUAUCAAACAGGAUUAGAUACCCUGGUAGUCCACACGGUAAACGAUGAAUACUCGCUGUUUGCGAUAUACAGCAAGCGGCCAAGCGAAAGCGUUAAGUAUUCCACCUGGGGAGUACGCCGGCAACGGUGAAACUCAAAGGAAUUGACGGGGGCCCGCACAAGCGGAGGAACAUGUGGUUUAAUUCGAUGAUACGCGAGGAACCUUACCCGGGCUUAAAUUGCAGAUGAAUUACGGUGAAAGCCGUAAGCCGCAAGGCAUCUGUGAAGGUGCUGCAUGGUUGUCGUCAGCUCGUGCCGUGAGGUGUCGGCUUAAGUGCCAUAACGAGCGCAACCCUUGUUGUCAGUUACUAACAGGUUCCGCUGAGGACUCUGACAAGACUGCCAUCGUAAGAUGUGAGGAAGGUGGGGAUGACGUCAAAUCAGCACGGCCCUUACGUCCGGGGCUACACACGUGUUACAAUGGGGGGUACAGAGGGCCGCUACCACGCGAGUGGAUGCCAAUCCCCAAAACCUCUCUCAGUUCGGACUGGAGUCUGCAACCCGACUCCACGAAGCUGGAUUCGCUAGUAAUCGCGCAUCAGCCACGGCGCGGUGAAUACGUUCCCGGGCCUUGUACACACCGCCCGUCAAGCCAUGGGAGCCGGGGGUACCUGAAGUGCGUAACCGCGAGGAGCGCCCUAGGGUAAAACUGGUGACUG
RNAcentral lists this ribosomal RNA (1433 nucleotides) under uncultured organism. Its description in RNAcentral is "SSU rRNA". It matches the Rfam family "Bacterial small subunit ribosomal RNA". The record is from RNAcentral.